GGGGUUGUGGCUCAGUGGUAGAGUGCCUGACUCACACACAUGAGACAAUGGGUUCGAUCCUCAGCACCA
RNAcentral lists this transfer RNA (69 nucleotides) under Ictidomys tridecemlineatus (thirteen-lined ground squirrel). Its description in RNAcentral is "Spermophilus tridecemlineatus (thirteen-lined ground squirrel) tRNA". It matches the Rfam family "tRNA". Rfam says of the family: Transfer RNA (tRNA) molecules are approximately 80 nucleotides in length. Their secondary structure includes four short double-helical elements and three loops (D, anti-codon, and T loops). Lineage: Eukaryota; Metazoa; Chordata; Mammalia; Rodentia; Sciuridae. The record is from Rfam by way of RNAcentral.